AGCACAUUCAAUUGCAAUGUUGUUGCACAGUUACAUUAAACCAUACAUUUAUAAAAACAUUAGCAGGUGUUCAAAAGGCCCUGUCUAUGACAUCACUUGCUGCUGCAGCUUGACACAGGUCAGAGUAUUUUGGUGGUUUCCAUCUUCAAACGGUCGUAUCUUAAAAACUAUAACUCCUACAGUGAAGAGCUUUAUAUUGUGAGAAUCACAAGACCCAGACCUACAUUUUGAUGCAUAGUAUGUCUCUGAAAUAUUAAAAUUGAAGGCACAGUCGCAGUUUAGAAAUUGCACUUCAAAUUUGAGCUUUGCAGAGUGAAGUUUCAAUGAAAGUCAAUGGACGGCGUUAGU
Molecule: non-coding RNA, 348 nt
Organism: Pelobates cultripes (western spadefoot toad)
Lineage: Eukaryota; Metazoa; Chordata; Amphibia; Anura; Pelobatidae
Source: the annotation of a GenBank genome assembly